RNAcentral lists this long non-coding RNA (23985 nucleotides) under Ananas comosus (pineapple). RNAcentral's name for it is "long non-coding RNA (ACOM_LNC027272)". Lineage: Eukaryota; Viridiplantae; Streptophyta; Magnoliopsida; Poales; Bromeliaceae. The record is from RNAcentral.
AUUAUUUAUAUGCUAAUAUAUUAGGUGAAUAUGUUUUAGGAAAACUUUAAAAACCUCUCGAACUUUCUCACUUUACUAUCCUAUAGUUUAAAGAGUAUUAAUUUGGUACCCUGUCGUUUUAUUUCUAUCUUAUCCGUAGUUUUUUCGUUAAUAUUUCGUUAAAUUAUAUACAAAAAACUAAAAUACUUACCUAGGUUUAUCAAAUAUUCACUUUAGUACUCAUAGGAUAAUAGUAUUAAUCAGAGUUUUAUAUAUUGAAACUCAAUGAAACAAAAUCGGGCAAAAAAAAAGAAACUAAAUAAGCGAUAUUAAAAAAAAAAAAAAAAAAAAAAAAAAAAAAAAAAAAAAAAAGCUAAGCAAUACCUAUAAAUGUUUCAAUAAAUAAAAGGAAAAAAAACAGAAUAUACUGUAAAUAUAAUAAAGCACACAAUUUUAAUACAUUCUGAUUUAUAAUUUAAUUCAAAUCAGCAACAUCGAAGUUGAAAAAAAAAAAGGUGUAAACUAAAUAUAAAAUAGGCUUAAUUUUAUUAAUAUAUACUGCAUAGUUGAAUUGCUAAGUUUGUAAUUACGAAAUAUAGAAAUUAAACAGGUGAUAACGACAUACUUGCCAUUCAAAAUAAAUCUAAAUAAUAAAAAUUAAGAAGGAAACUAAAUAGAGAAUAGCAUAAUAUAAUAUAAUUAAUCCUAAGUGGCAUUAAUAUAUAUAUUAUUAUAUAAAAAAAAAACAAAUCUAACAUUCCAAAGAUAAUCUAAAAUAAAAAGUAUAGAUAAUAAUAUAUUAUGAGAGUGAGCUAGAAAAAAAGAAAAAGCAGGCCGUUUCCGAAGAUAUAUCUCAUUAAAAAAUAAAUACCUAAAUUUAAAUGGGCAAGCUGUAUACAAUUUUUGAUUGGUGCAUACCGUGCGUCUUUUCCCUCCGAACCCCUCUCCCGCUAUUUCACUGUUCUCUUCUUUCGCCAUUACCGUGCUCCAAGAACUGAUCUUGAUUUUUGAUUGGUGCAUGUCUUUUCCCUCCCAACCCCUCCUCCCCUAUUACACUGCUGUUCUCUUCUCUCGCCAUUACACCGUGCUCCAAGAAUUAGUCUUGUUUCACCAUUGAAAUGGGGCUCUUGUUUAGCAAGGCGGAGCUCUUGUUUAGCAAGGUGGAGCAGCGCUCCGAAGCUGUGACAAGUUCACAAUGCUCUGUCGAGAAAUUUGUCGGCUAGCUCCUGAGAUAGGAUCCGGUAACGAUAUGGCUCUUCCGACAACAACAAAUGAGGUUUUUGAUCUUGAAUCUGGUUCCUUUCAUUCUGCAAAGACUCUCAAUCUUUUCUGUAGCUACCUCCAAUCCAUUGUACUUGCACCAUUACUUUACCUCGCCACGAUGAAUCAUUGUAUCAACGACGAACAUAGCGACGUCACGGUGGUCCGUGGGUUAGUGGCCCCGCCUUCAACCAUUUCAAUAUAGAAAUGUUGAUGAAAUUAUUUCGGAGAUCGGCAAGGAAUCAUCCUUGUUGAAGCCGAAGUUGCAGGAACGAAAAAUGGAGGUUAAGGAAGAAUCAGUGCGAAUCAAGAAAUACAAAAGAAAAUGGGAAAUUGCUGGGCUAAUUCUGUCUCUCGUUCUCAUAAUAUUCAAUUUCGCCGCAAUUAUGCUGACAAAAUUCUUGGUUCAAACCGCGGUGGUGGUGUGUGUCAAUGGGGGGCUAAACAUGCUCAUUUCCACCGUGAAAAUGGCGGAACUCUGGCUAAUCAAAACUGCAAACGAGAAGGUGAUUGAAUAAGAAGAACAACGGAGUUUGCUCAGUGUGAUAAUCGAUGGUUGUAGCUCUUCGCAGAUAAUGCUAAGCAACCUGUGGCAAAUUCGAGUAACUGCAGAAAAUUUAAAGCUCCAGCGUGCCAACUUACGCGCUGCUCGGAAUCACAGCAGCGUCGGUACGGUGGAGGGUUUGAAGGAAGAUUUGAGGAACGAAAUUGCAAAACUCGAAAUGAUGAUCGACACUGAAGAACAAAAGGUGAAAACUGCCGCUAGAAGCUUCAUGACUAUUGUUCGGAAUUGAGAGUUCACAAGUGUUUCUAACUAGUCGAUCGUCCAGGAUCUCGCCUAUUGUUAGGAUUUGUUCUAAACACUCUAAAAAUGGUUUGAAUGAUUCUAGAAGAGUUUCUAGAUGUUGAACAAACUCUUUUUUGUUUGUUUUAGAGAUCAAAACGAGAUAUUGAGCAUAUGAUAUUAUUAGGGCACCAAAAUUGUGGUUUUUGUUAUGGGUGGGUUUAAAUGUAAAUUAACCCUAUACAAACCUAAUUGUUAGGUAUACGAACGCGUUGGUGAAGUCGGUUCGGCGAUUCGUCGAGCCUACGCGAAGUUAUUGAAGAAACGGACCGUUAAAGCUUCGUUUCCGCCUGGAGAGCCGAGACCACGUCCUAAAAUCAAAGAAACGGAAUCGGGGGCUCGUUACAACUAACCGUAGACCUUUAAUUUCCGGAUCGUUGAUUGGAGGCCGUUCGGGAGUGGUUGCGCGAGAGUUCGGCCCGAACUGGGUCACAGAUGCCGCGGGAGGCCGAUUGCAAGUGACGACAAGCAAUCAGAGAGCAAAUUGAGGUGGGUUGUGCUUACGGAAGCGACUAGGUCGCCUCUAUGUCUAAGUGUAAUGUGGUUUUAUAUUGAUGCAUUUAAAUACUAGAUAGAUGCAUGUAGUAAAUGCUAAAGGGAAUGCAUGCAAAUGACAUAAAGCAGAGAUGCCAAAGAGAACACAUGUUGCAUGUUAUAGAAAUGCUAAGUGAAUGCAUAUGGUGUAAUAUAGAAAAUGCUAGAAUGCAUGAUGACAUAAUAUGAAUGAUGCUAGUUAAAAGCAUAAGAAAAAUGACAUUUGCAUGUUAAUCAUAAAGUUAGAGAACAUGCUAGUUGUAACGCAUAAUGACAAGUUGUAAAUAAUGUUAGUUGGGAUAAGCAUGUUAUGUGAAUGCUAGAUAAUUUCAUGAAGGCAAGGUUAGCAUUGCGAGGACUAUGGAAUACUCGAAUUGGACAACUAGGAUGUCAAUUAGAUAGAAUGACAUAUGAACCUAGUGUUGAUAAACAUAGGUGGGCAUCGAACCUAGUGUUAAAAAAUAUAGGUUGAGAAUGGAGCCUAGAGUUAAGUAAACCUAGGUUAUGAAUAUAGUGACAUUGAACCUAGAGUCGAAUAAAUCUAGAGAAUAAAAAAUAUUGAAUCUAGUGUUAAUAAACCUAGGCUAUGAGCAUAGAGGUAACGAACCUAACGUAUUAAACUUAGGUUGAGUAAAGGAUUGGACCUACAUAGGUCGAUACUAUAGGGUGAGACCAACCCUAGAGUUGUGAAAGUGGAUUCUGGAAUUCCGGCUGCGAGUGCAGCGGCUGCUAGUGCAGCAUAUGAGCUCGAUAGGGCCGCGGGUGCGUGUGGCAUAUUCUCCUCCCACCGGAAGAACUUCGAGAAUUGUGAUUGAGCAAGAUUCUAGGAGCGCUAGGGUGCGUGUGGCAUAUUCCCCUCCCACCGAAAAAAUUUCUGACCACGAGUGUACGCAGCUCUGAGCGACCAGUUGGGCGAUGUGGUUUGUAGAUUGAAGGCCGAAAUGUAUGUGAGAGUUCCUUCACCUCGAGCCGGACAGAGCGCGGAUUAUCCGCAGUUGAUUGACUCAAGACCGAGUUUGGUGGUAUAGCGUGACUAAUAUAAGAGUAACCUUAGGAAAGAAUGGCAAGUAAAGAGUAAAGCUAGCUAACAAUAAAGAACGGCUAAAAAAUAAGAAUAGCUAAUAAAGUAAAGAACGGCUACAAGUAAGAAUGUCUAAGAAUAUAAAGUAGAAUCGGUAAUCUACUUGUAUAGUUGUAUGGAUUUCAUAUCGCACAUUGUGAGGCAUACCAUAUAGUUCAAUAUCGAAUAAACGUAUAAAUAUCUUUUAUAUGUUAUUGGACUAAUAUGUUGCAGUGCCUCAUUAGACCUAUUGGUUGAGCUUUUUUCUUGGAUGGCCGUACCCACUGGAAACUAUGGACAAUAGUUCUCACCCCCGUAUUAUUUUGGAGGUAUAGAUUCACACGUGAGCGGCGCGACGGCGCGAGGUAAAGACGUAGCUUCGUAGAUAGCGCCCUACCACCGAGACUAGAAAUAGCAGUAUCUGAGUCGGCUACUUAGAGAUGUAAAAUAAAAUGAAAAAAAAAUGUUGUAAUAGUUGUGUUAAAUCGGAUUAUAUUUGAAAGUAAGAAUCUAGUUAAUAUAAUGUAAAAUGUGAACUGAGACGAAUACUUGUAAUAGUAUAGACGUGUUUAUGUUUUCGAUACCUUUCUUAUUUAGUCUUUAUUUGUAUACUGUUUCUAGUUGGAACCUUGUACAUUGUUGAAUUGUGACGCCUUGGACGUACAGGAAAGACUCUAUCCGCGGUACAGGAAAAAUCCUGUCCGUCCAGCGGUCUGUUGGCGUGCCCGAAUCCGACCAAAGAGGCUGACUUGAGACUUGACAGCUACAAUCUUCGCUAUUCAUAAUUCCACCACCCAAAUCCACAGCGGCGCCAUUACACUCUAGGGUUCGUCCAUUCGAACAAUGAUGCUCGUUCCUCGAAUCAAACUCCUCAAGCUUCGCCUCACUACCUUUGAUAUCUACCCCCAGUAUUUACGUGGUCGUCGAGAUCCGCGUAGAGGUCGCCGAAAUCGUCCGAUUCGUCCAUGGCGCUCUUAUUGAAGUCAAUCGCAGAAACUUUGACUGCUCUAAAGAAGUUAAGGUGGUUUUGUUAUAUUUUUUUUUUUUUUUCCCACCAAAUUUUUAGGUUUUCGAAAUUUUUUAUUUUUGUAAAAAAUUAUUUUCUAGAUUGAAAUUGAGUGGUCCAUAGAUGACGUGGUGCACAAGAUCCAGCCAAAUUAUUGCUAACUAACUUUCCUCCCUCGCAGUUGACGCACCUACUCUACCCCAAAACGUACCCCAAACCCCGUCUCCGCUUCGCUGAUCUCCUCUUCCUCUUCCUCGUCCUCGCGUCCAUGGCGGAUCAAUCCCAAUCCUCCCCAAACCCUAAACCAUUACCUCCUCCUUCUCCUCCUCCGCCGCUGCACGCGGCGGCGCGGCGGCGGCGCGACUUCCUUCUCCACGUCGAGGCCUACCUCGCGCGCCGCGAUGGCGUCGACAAGCUCCUCAAGAUCGCCCGCUACGCCGCCAAAAUCGCCCUCUCCUCCCCCUCCGGCGCCGGAACCCUAGCCCCGCGCCUCAAGGCCUUCGAGUCCAGCGUCGGCCUCAGCCGCAAGGCCUUCCGCCUCGGCAAGUUCGUCCAGGACGUCAACUCCCUCCGCUCCCCCUCCGCCGCCGCCGCCGCCGCCGCCCCCUCCGCCGCCGAUCGCCUCCUCGCCGCCCCCGCGUACGGCGGCGAGGGCCUCUACUACUUCGUGGAGCAGUUCGUGUGGCUCGCCAAAGCGGGGCAUCCCCGCCGAGCUCGCCCCGCGGCUCCAGAGGAUCAGCGCGUGGGCCGAACUCGUCGGGUACGCGGGGAGCAUCGCGUUGAAGUUGAAAGAAGUGAAAAAGAUCCGAUCUACUAUCGAAUCGAAGACCCCGAUCUCAAAAUCGGGGAAAUGCGACGGAAUCGAAGAGGAGGAGGAGGAGAUGAAGAGAUUGAGAGAGAAGUUGCUUCUUAAGCAUCUUUCGAUCGUCCAGGAUCUCGCCGACGGAUUAAUGGCGCUCGGAGAUGUGAGGGAAGCGAAAGGGUUUCUAGCUAGUCCUCUGCUUAUGGCCUCAGCAGGUCUUCUUUCGGCUGUCAUUAGCACUCACAAGAAUUGGAUAGCAUGCUAAGGUACAGGAUUUUUAGCUCUUUUCAAUUGUUGAUAGAGAUAAAGCUCCUAUCUUUUGAAUGAAUUGUCGGAGCCGGAGUAGAAACAAUUACAUAAUCUCGUAUAAUACCUCAUGUGUAUUGAAUAAUAUUGGAUGAUUAGAGAAAUAUAGAUGGGCAUGCUUAAAUAACAUCAGUUUAUGAUUCUGUAGCUAUGACAUUACAGUGACUCUUUAACUCUGUGCAUAAGUUGGGUGUUAUAUCAAAAUCAUAGCUUGUUAGGGAUAUGCUUGAUUAGUUCUUCAUGUUGCGUUGUUUGCGACCUGGAAUUGUGGGGAUCAAACUGUACCUAUGUUAGUUUGUGCACGUCAGCUUUAUUUUACUGGCUUAUAAGAGGCCAAAUGAGUUUAAUCACUUGGUUCUGGAAGUAGAAAGUAGAGGGAAAAAAUGGAUGGAUUAGUAAAUAAAGUCAGGACGAGAGCUUUGUAACUUAAUGAUCGUAUGCUUACUUGUCGUAUUGCUUUUGUGCUGCAUAAAAUUGGGUUGAAAAGAGAUAAACGAUUGGAGAUAAGGCGCUAUAGUUAUGUCUCAUUCAUUUAUUAACAUGCACAAAAUUUAUCAUUCUGUUUCUAUUUCGACAAAUUGGAGUAGGAAUAAUAUGAGAUCAUUUUGUAGCAAGUGUAUAUAAGCUUGAUAGAAAACUCAUGCUAUUUUGUGGUUUGGUAAAGCUAGUCUAGUUAGCUUUUGUUGUUUUUCUGUGUUGUAACUAGACUAUAGGAGCCAUAUGACGAUUUGAGAAAAUGCUAAGCAUUACCUAGUUAAUUGUGGAUGUUUGUAUAGUCUCUACUUGUCUAUUUUGCUGGCCGCAAGACGUUCCUGGUAAAGUGUUAUGACCAAUCCAGAAUCUCAGUUAAGAAAACAAAUAGAAUUAACGAAUGUAAGCAUAACUUGUUAUGUGAAAAUGAUAAAUGAAACUGACGAAGAAACAGGAGAAUGACGGGAUCUUAAGAAUACACAAAAGCUACUGCUACAAACAUUGACUGACGUAAUGUAUUUCACAAAGUGUUUUUAUCUUUAAUUUUGGUGCAUGAAUGGAAUUAGUGGAAAUGCUAGAAGCAAAAUAUGAUUGCUUCGAGAAAGUUAAAUAUCAUGCCAAGAAAAAUUGCUAAUACUUCAACAAUCUGAUGGAGGUGCUGUAAUUGUAUCCACUUGGGUUUAUAUUAAAAAUGUGAAUCUGUUGUGAGCAAGCUAUGUAUAGUUCUCAAGUCAUUUCUUGUAUUCCUUUUCUCUACUUUCACAUUUUAUUUCCACCUACUAAAAAACAAUUGUCUACUUCACUAACCACAUAGUACUCCAUAUGCUUUUUCGUUUUUCGUUUUUCUUUUUGAGUUUGAAAGGAGCCACAGAGUCGCUAAUUACAAAACCCUUCAAGAGAGAGCACCUGAAAUGUGAAAAGAUUAUACAAUCCAAAACACCCUUGUCAAUGCUAUGUAUAUGGGCGGCUUGCUUGUUAUAGUUACUGUGUAAUUUAUUUGACAGUUGGAGGAAAGUUUAUGUGCCCUGCAAUUUAUUUACUUGCAAACUUAGAGCUAUGGCAUGCAUCUUUCAAAGGGAAUCAUGAACUAAGAAUGAUCAUAUUUUGAUAGAUCGUGUAUAUGUUCAUCUGUUGCAGCUUCUGUUCAUUCUCUAUUUUCUGAAGUAUUGUCUCCAGUUAACUGCUUAUUGUUUCAUACUUUCAUUUAGAAAAGAUGAAUGUUAGAUCCUCAUUGCUGCUUUGUUCACAGACAAAAAUUGAUGUUGUUAAGAUGAUUCAGAAAGCACAUUACUGUCACACAGCAUUAUAGAGAAGCAAAAUGUUUCUUUUCCUCUGUAGUAUUUUCCUUUCAUUAGCUUUUGCUUAGAUGUAAUCCUGUAAAUGGAGAAAAAAAAACACAGAUUAAUUAGUCUCAUAUGAGAACACUCCUAAGAAUUUUAUAACUUUGAUAGAUAUUCAGUUUAAGGCAUUUUAAGCAUUAGAGGCAGAACUGGAGUACAUACAAGGACAAGCCGCAUGAUCGAAUGCUGACAAGGUGAUCUUAGUUAUAUAUCCACGAGAUAUAAUUCAUUUCAUCUCAAACUUUAAUUAUCAGUAUCAACAUGAGACCGUAUUUUUAUCUCUCAUUAAAAGGUAAAAGCGAGUCGCUGGGUCAAACACGCAGUGUCAAAACUCGGUGAAAAUGAACCUUUCAACAUUUUGGUAUGUUCUCAUGAUAACGAAACGUCCUUCUUAUCUUACCCCAUCCUACCAAUUACCUUAUUAUAGACCUUUCAACACCUUAUGCAUUAAGAAAAUGUCUACAUCUUAGUGUGAACAAAUAUUUUAUCGGGUCGACUCAUUAAUCGUCCACUAGCAUAUCUCGCAAAAUUCAAUAUUGGAAUAUUUGAAUUCGAUUUUAAUCCAAAUACUUAUGCAAUUCCGAACAGAAGAGGUAAGAAUAAGAUGUUAGUAAACUUAGAACAUCUUCUAAUUUAUUCAAAUUUAGGGCCAGAGAUCAAUGAACCGAGAUGAGCUCAGUUUGUAUGUUUUUCUCGUCUUCAAUUUUGAGAAUACUUUUCAAUACUAUAUUUACUUUCUAUCAACAGUUUAUUCUAUCAAUACGUUUCAAUUUUAUCUGAGUCCUUUUGUUUUAUAUAAUUUGUACGUUUGAAUACCAGUCCAUCAAUAUAAUCUUAUGAUAUUUUUUAUAUAAAAACAAAAAUUUCGUAAAUGAAAAGCUUGCGUAGAAAGAGAUCGUUUCCUUGAAGUAAUAAACAGAGUGGUGAAAGCGGCAUAUUCUUUCCCUCUAAAUACUUAACUGUUUACCCAUUACUAAAAUAUAUAAUCACAUACUCAACUUAUAAUAUACUUAUAAACUAUUUUAUCUUCUAACUUUCAUUUGACUUUGUAAAGAUAAAAGAUGUUAAUCCACAUAAUAAUAGUAUUAUUUAUAUAAAAAAGAGAUUUUAUAAAUAUUCAAAAAAUAUGUAAUAUUUUAAAUUUUUAAAGAGCACAAAUAAAAUUAACUUGUAUUAAACUUGAAUGAGGGUAGUAUUAUCAAAUUCCACUGGAUCCCAUACAUUUAUCACUAAGGGAGAGUUUCGUUGAGCGUAGAACAAAUCGAAAAAUUAUUUUCAGAUAUGAAAAAUACUUUCCUACUUAUUUAGUUCAUCGUAAAAUAAUUUUUCCAUAAAAAUAUUUUUAUAAAUUUGAAAAAAAUUAAAAUUUAUAUAUUAUUUUUCAGUGAAAAUAAAAAUAAAAAUAAAAACUCAAACUGCGUAAAAUUUUUUUCAUUCAUUUUGUUUCACUAAAUCAAACAAAUAUUAAUUUUUUUCUAACUAAAUAAAUAUUGAUGAAAAUUUAUUUAUUUUUUUCUACAAACUAAACGCUAUAAAAUAUUAAAAAAUUUUAUAAAAAAUUAUUUUUUACGAUUUUAUAUUGAACCGAACGACCCUAACCAAAUUUAAUGGAUUUUCUUUAAUAUCUCUUAUUAUCACGAAUCUUAUCAUAAUAAUAUUUAUUACUUUUAAUAAUAAAUACGAGAUAACACAGGGAGAUAACGAUCUCGACCAUCAGAUGCAUAUAAACGCACCAGGCAUGUCCCAUCACGCCUCAAUCAACGGCCGAGAUAGGGACACGUCACCCGUACCCUCAGCAACAUCGAAGUUAAAAAAAGAAAAGGGUGUAAACUAAAUAUAAAAUAGGCUUAAUUUUAUUAAUAUAUACUGCAUAGUUGAAUUGCUAAAUUUGUAAUUACGAAAUAUAGAAAUUAAACAGGUGAUAGCGACAUACUUGCCAUUCAAAAUAAAUCUAAAUAAUAAAAAUUAAGAAGGAAACUAAAUAGAGAAUAGCAUAAUAUAAUAUAAUUAAUCCUAAGUGGCUUUUAUAUAUAUAUAUAUAUAUAUAUAUAUAGGGAAAACUUCAAAAACCUCUUGUAGUUUCGUGCUUUCUCACUUUAGUACCCUCUGGUUUAAAGUAUAUCAAUUUGCCCCCAUGCAGUUUCGUUUUUAUCUUUUCGAUAACUUUUUCGUUAAUAUUUUAUUAAAUUAUAUACAAAAAACUUCAGAUAUUUAUCUAGAUUUAUCGAAUAUUCACUUUAGUACUUUUUAAUUUUAACUUUGUCACUGAUUUAAGAAAAAAAAUAAUAAAAUUGGUAAUAAAAAGAGAAAAACUAAAUUGAUAUAUUUUAAACCACAUGACACUAAAGUGAUAAACAGUGAAACCACACGAGGGUUUGAAGUUUUCUCAUAUAUAUAUUAUUAUAUAAAAAAAAAAAAAAUCUAACAUUCAAAAGAUAAUCUAAAAUAAAAAAUAUAGAUAAUAAUAUAUUAUCAGAGUGAGUCAGAGAGAGGAACAAAAAAAAAAAAGAAAAGAAAAAGCAGGCCGUUUCCGAAGAUAUCUCAUUAAAUGGGCUGACCACAAGCUAUAUACAAUUUUGAGUUCCGGUUAGGACCGUUAAAGGUAUAUAUAUAUAUAUAUAUAUAUAUAUACACUAUCGGUAGCACCGAGGGCUCCGUGCUACCAAAUUGUGUUCGAUGAUGCGGCUUCCAAAUUGACGAUCGGCUCCGUUAGACUUGAUCUACACUAUUAAAAGUAUUUAGAAACUAAAUUUCAUAAUUUUUCGAUAUUAUUUACCUAACAAAUAAGUUGUCUAAAAUUGAACGGCUGAAAAUAAAAAUCUCAUAAAAAAUAAUGAUAAAAGAUUUAAAUUCAAGAUCAGAUAUACUGAUCUUACUCUAAAUAAUGAAAAGAAUUUUCUAUAAAAUUUUCAUCGAAUUUGGNUAUAUAUAUAUAUAUAUAUAGAGUGGAGCUAGAAUACUUUUAGAAAGGAUGUGCGGAUAGGAUGAUAGUGGUCCCCGGUUAAAUUGAUAGUGGUCCCCUAGGGUUGAGUGGAUAAUUGGUUUAAUAGUAUAAUCUAACGGGUGGAAAUGAUCAAAGGGUGGAUCUAACGGUAGAAAACUCAAUAGUACCGAGGGCUUGAUACUAUCGAUAUUAUAGUAGCCGGACUCUAUCUAUAUAUAUAUAUAUAUAUAUAUAUAUAUAUAUAGAUAUAUAUAUAUAUAUAUUCGAUUCUUGGUUAUUUGCAUCUUCUUUCUCCCUCCCAACUGCUCACCCCUCUCCCGCCAUUACACCUUGCUGUUCUCAGUCUUCUCUGACCCAACUGCUAAUCCCUCACCCGCCAUUACACCCUGCUCCAAGAACUAAUCUUUCUUUCACCCCCCCCAAAAUCGCUCGAUCAAAAAAGUUUUUGCCCUAACUUCUCACCCCACCCAUGCGGCCCUGCCACCUACCCCAGCCCCCACCUAUUCCCGUCCUCCUCUUCCCUUCCGGCGGCUCGCCAAAUGCCAUCGGAAGCCCCCGCGGGGCCAUUCUCUAUACUAGAGAAUCUGGAAUUGCUGAAGUAAGAGGGUAUGUGAAUUCCGACUAUGCUGGAGAUUUAGACAGGAGUAGAUCCAUUACAGGUUACACUUUUUUGCUGAAUAGCGGACCUAUUAGUUGGAAGUCCACAUUGCAGCGCACUGUAACCUUUUCAACUACAGAGGCGGAAUAUAUGGCAGCAAUUGAAGCAGCCAAGGAAGCAGUCUGGCUCCAAGGCUUGGUAGGUGAAUUCGGAAUCAUACAAGAUAAGGUAAACAUAUUUUGUGAUAGUUAAAGUGCUAUUUGUCUUGCUAAAAAUCAGGUGUACCAUGCAAGGACUAAGCAUAUAGAUAUAAGGUAUCACAAAUUAAGAGAGUUCACAAAUGAAGAUGAUGGAGAAAUUCAACUUAUAAAGAUGUCUACAAAGGACAAUAUAGCUGAUAUCAUGACGAAGCCGGUAACAACUGAAAAGUUUAGGCAUUGACUAAACUUGGCAAAUUUGCAGGAUUGCUGAUGAUUGGAAGCUCUAGGGAGAGAGAGCAUUAAGAUAAGAGAGACUGAAUGAAGAACAAAAGAAGCUAAGGUGGAGAUUGUUGGUUAUAUGUCUUCUUUUGUAUAGGGCAUAAAAUUAUUUGUUUGGCCCAUAAGAUUUUUUGGACUAAUAUGCAAAAGAGACAUGAAUAUGAAAGUUGGUUCAUGGCGCACCGGGUCUACCGAACUAUUUAAAGUAUGAAUAAAGGGUUUUCAUUGGACAGAGAAGUAAUAUGCUGCGUUUCAUGCAUGCAUGCAUAAAACACAUGUUGCCAUGAAUGUCAAAAAGCCUAUAUAUAGGGCUUUCAUGUGUUUCAUGCAUGCAUGUCAAAAAGCCUAUAUGUAGGCUAAUUAUGACAAGUUGACAAUUGAAGAUGCAAACUUCAAUUGUGCAACUGCAUCCAUGGCUAUAAAAAGCCUCCAUCUCCACAUAUAAAUGAACAAGAUGAAGCACAAGCAACGGGUGAAUUAAGUGAGGUAUUAGGAGAAGGGUGGAAACUUAAUUAGUAGUUUGUUGAGUUUCUCUUAUUUGUUGUAAGAAGAGAAGGGUGGUAGUAACCAUAAGGCUCUUGUAUUAGAUUGAGAGAAACAUAAAGGUGUGGGCUUGUAAAUUUUCUUUUUUUCAUAUAAAGGAUACAUCUCUCCGCUCUCUCCGUAGAGGUAGGCCACUUACCGAACCACGUAAAUCGCUGUUUUUUUUUUCUGUGUAUUUCUUUUUAUUAUUUUUUCCUGUUUCUUUGUUCGUAUAUUUUUGUUGAUAGCACAUACAGGAUGAUCCUAAGUCCCAACACCCUCCUCCAUUUCCGCAAGAACUUCAUCAACGUUUCCAUAUCGAAAUGGUUGGCGGCCCCCGCCACUAACCCAGGGACCACCGUGACGUCGCCGUGUUUCGUCAUUGAUGAUAUACCUCAUGGUGGCGAGUAAAGCAAUGGUGCAUGUAUGGUAAAUUGAACGUAGCUGGAGAAAAGAUUGAGCGUCUUUGAAGAACAAACAUAGCUGGCCAGCUAUGUUUGUUCUUCAAAGACGCUCAAUCUUUUCUCCAGCUACGUUCAAUAUACCAUACAUGCACCAUUGCUUACCUCGCCACCAUGAGGUAUUGCAUCAAUGACGAACACGGCGACGUCACGGGUGGUCCCUGGGUUAGUGUCGGGGGCCGCCAACCAUUUCGAUAUGGAAACGUUGAUGAAGUUCUUGCGGAAAUGGAGGAGGGUGUUGGGACUUAGGAUCAUCCUGUAUGUGCUAUCAACAAAAAUAUACGAACAAAGAAACAGGAAAAAAUAAUAAAAAGAAAUACACAGAAAAAAAAACAGCGAUUUACGUGGUUCGGCAAGUGGCCUACCUCCACGGGGAGAGCGAGAGAGAUGUAUCCUUUAUAUGAAAAAAAGAAAAUUUACAAGCCCACACCUUUAUGUUUCUCUCAAUCUAAUAUAAGAGCCUUAUGGUUACUACCACCCUUCUCUUCUUAUAACAAAUAAGAGAAACUCAACAAGCUACUAAUUAAGUUUCCAGCCUUCUCCUAAUACCUCACUUAAUUCACUCGUUGCUUGUGUUUCAUCUUGUUCAUUUAUCUGUGGAGAUGGAGGCUUUUUAUAGCCAUGGAUGCAGUUGCACAAUUGAAGUUUUCAUCUUCAAUUGUCAACUUGUCAUAAUUAGCCUAUAUAUAGACUUUUUGACAUUCAUGGCAACAUGUGUUUUAUGCAUGCAUGCAUGAAACGCAGCAUAUUACUUCUCUGUCCAAUGAAAAUCCUUUAUUCAUACUUUAAAUAGUUCGGCAGACCCGGUGCGCCAUGAACCAACUUUCAUAUCCAUGUCUCUUUUGCAUAUUAGUCCAAAAAACCUUAUGGGCCAAACAAAUAAUUUUAUGCCCUAUACAAAAGAAGACAUAUAACCAACAAUCUCCACCUUGGCUUCUUUUGUUCUUCAUUCAGUCUCUCUCAUCUUAAUGCUCUCUCUCCCUAGAGCUUCCAGUCAUCAGCAAUCCUGCAAAUUUGCCAAGUUUAGGCAAUGCCUAAACUUUUCAGUUGUUACCGGCUUCAUCAUGAUAUCAGCUAUAUUGUCCUUUGUAGACAUCUUUAUAAGUUGAAUUUCUCCAUCAUCUUCAUUUGUGAACUCUUAAUUUGUGAUACCUUAUAUCUAUAUGCUUAGUCCUUGCAUGGUACACCUGAUUUUUAGCAAGACAAAUAGCACUUUAACUAUCACAAAAUAUGUUUACCUUAUCUUGUAUGAUUCCGAAUUCACCUACCAAGCCUUGGAGCCAGACUGCUUCCUUGGCUGCUUAAAUUGCUGCCAUAUAUUCCGCCUCUGUAGUUGACAAGGCUAUAGUGCACUGCAAUGUGGACUUCCAACUAAUAGGUCCGCCACUUUGCAAAAAAGUGUAACCUGUAAUGAAUCUACUCCUGUCUAAAUCUCCAGCAUAGUCGGAAUCCACAUACCCUCUUACUUCAGCAAUUCCAGAUUCUCUAGUAUAGAGAAUGGCCCCGUGGGGGCUUCCGAUGGCGUUUGGCUAGCCGCCGGAAGGGAAGAGGGGGAGGGGAAUAGGUGGGGGCUAGGGUAGGUGGCAGGGCCGCAGGGGUGGGGUGAGAAGUUAAGGCAAAAACUUUUUUGAUCGAGCGAUUUUGGGGGGGGUGAAAGAAAGAUUAGUUCUUGGAGCAGGGUGUANGCGAACGUUGCGGUUUUUUAGGUGAUCCGCGAGUCUGCGACCGCGAGCCACGAACCGUUUUUUCGGCCGAAUUAUUUUCGAAUAAUUAUUUUCACCAAAAAAUAUACGUUUUUUUUUCAAAUAUUUUUUAAAAAUACGAAUACUGCUGUUUUAUUCAUUUUUUAAAAAUUCACGAAUAAUUUGUAAAUUAUUAAUAAAUUAACUAACAUAUAUAUAUAGGUAUAUUGUAUGUUAAAAAAUAAAAUAUAUAUAGGUAUAUUGUAUAAGUAGUAAAAUAAAAAAAGUAAAUAAAGCGACUAAAAUUUUAAAAUACACAUAUACUCUUUAUCUAUAAGUCUUAUUGUUGUCUUGUGGUGUAUCCACAUUGGCGGUUUUUAAUUCAACCCGAUCCAUAUAGGACGUGCAUUGAAAUUUAUUCUAAUAAGUUAAGAAUAAGACUAAAUUAUAUAUUUUUAUUAAUUAAAAAACUUAUCUUUCAGUGAAUAUUUAUUAUGAAUAUUUUAAUCCUAAUCCUUAUCCUAAUAUCUUUGUAAGAUUCAAGAUAUUUAGGAGAUUCCGCUAUUCUAUAAAUACACCCUCUUUUCUCUCUCGUAAAAAGAAUUCUUUUCUCUUCUUUCUCUCUUUUCUCUCCCGUAAAAAGAAUCUUCUCUCUUUUUUCUAGAAUUUUCAUCUAUGUUCCCGGUUGCAUCCGUAAGCAUCUAGACCAAUACGAUCCAAGCAAGAUAGUAAAACAAGCAAUCCGAUCCGAUCAACCGAUUCCGGUUCUGAUCCGAUUUCGGUUCCUGAAUACGUUGGGCCAUCCAGUUUGUAAGUUUCUACCGCCCUAAUAUUUCAAACUGUUUUAAAAUACACAAUACUCUUUAUUUAUAAGUCUUAUUGGAACUGAUCCCUCAACUUCAUUUUUUUUUUUUUUUUACUAUGGAAUACUAUGGGAUAUUUCACCCGGUCCAGAUCUGGAUCCAGAUUUGAAAGCUGUUCGGCACUCUAUCCAUUAGAAAGUUGGGUUAUGUUUGGCCCAAAUCGGUUAUCAGUAUAAAGUAUCGAGAUACAUACUCGAAAUUUUUAUAGGUAUUUUUUUUAUUCGUAUGCUAUUUAUUUUUUAUGUCGAAUCCGAUUUGGAUCUGAGUAGGAUCCGAAUUAGAUAUGAGAUAUUAGAUAUUUUGAACAUUUUUACCAAUGAUCGAAAUUUGUUAGAAUAAUCUUGUACUAAAAGCGCCUGAUUAAUAAAUCAAUAAAGGAGUCUCCAAAUCCUCAUGAACUCUGGUAUUCUUGCAAGUAAUCGUCUCAACUUUUAGCUGCCACAAUCAAUUAAUUAAUGUACUACUUCGUCAAAGGAAUGCUUUGCCCUAUCAUCUGGAAUCACGUAUGUGGAACUAUUUAUUACCUCUGGAAUGGGACUAGCAAAACCUUAUAGAAGCAAACAAUGAACGGCAUCAACAAGAUCCAUAUUAGCAUCUUCUUUACUUCUACUAGAAGAAUGGAAAUAAUAAGCAAUCUUUACUUGUUCUACUAGUAGAAAUGUGUUUGAAAACUGCAUAAAUGUGUUCAGAUUUUAUCGUAUUUUUAAAGACUAUAAACAAACAAAUUAAUUUAAUUUAAUUAAGUACGAAUUCUAAACAAAUUCUAUAAUGCAGUAAGUAAAUAACAUUUUGUAUUUUCAUAUAAAAUUUAAAUUUCAUUUAAAAUUUUAAAAUUUUAAAAUUUAAAAUUUAAAAUUUUGAAUUUUGUAUUUUGAAAUUUAAAUUCUUAAUUUGCUAUUUUCAAUUUAAAUUUUGGAUUUUAAAAUUUAAAAGUUUAAAUUUUAAAUUUAAAAAUGUAAAUAAAAAAAUUAAAAACUUAAAUUCAAACAUAAUAUAAGAGGUAAUAUCAUUAUUUUCUAUUUAUAACUAUCCAUUAUUCCUUUUAUUCUAUCUUAUUUAUUCAAACGCUAUUUUUCUUUUAUCCAGAAAUAAUCUAUUUUUUAUCCAAAUACAAUGUACCAGAAUUUAUACCAUUUAUAUCUAUUUCUGAAAUAAGCCGUUCUUACUUGUAUCCGAAUCAAACAAAAUCUUGAUAACCUUUUAAAAAAGAGUUCCCUCGUUUUCUCGUUAGGAAUGUUAGGAUUCAUCUAUAGCGAGACUUAUCUAAAAUAUUUUUAAUAUAUAUGAAAUAAAAAAUAAAUCUAAUAAAUGAAUUCUAAUCUGUUUAGAAUUUUGUAUAUAUGUGAAAUUUAUUUAAAAUAGCAUUAAGAUUAAAGUGCCUAUAAAUAUAUGAGGUAUUAACCACUUAUAAUAAGUAAGAAAAUUAGUAGUCUUUCCACAAUUCUCACUAUUAGAAACUAUGCGGCAAAAAAUCUAAUUUUUUUAUCCUACAGGCAACAACAACAAAAAAAAAAAAAAAAAAAAAAAAAAAAAAAAAAAAAAAAAAAAAAAAAAAAAAAAAAAAAAAAAAAAAAAAAAAGCGCGCUUGCGACAGGAAGACGGACAAGUCGAACGCCGACGUCGGACCGGCCGACUGUCAUGCGAUACUGAUCGGACAAAUCUGCCGGUUCGCACCCGUGAUGUCGUGCAUCAUCGCCCGGGCCGUGGAUGUCGGUCCUGCUUGCUCGUGCCCCGCAACCCUCGCAUUCGUGGUUCUCUACUUGAGGUACUGCAUCUACGCUCCCCUAUUCUAUCUUUCACUAGUGAAGCAUCGCGUCGACGGAGACGGAGACGGAGACGGAGACGACGACAGAAAGACCAUGACGAUGCUGGCGCCGGAGCUGGCAGAGGGGAGCCCGUUUCGGGACAUGAGCGCCGGUGACCUCCUGGAGGAGAUCCGCAAGGGGCACGGGUUGCUGCUGGACGGAUUGUUGGAGAGGAACAGCGAGCUGGAGGAGGAGCUGAAAGCCCGCGAGAAACGUAAGAGGUUUAAGAGGAUCGGGCUGUACGUCGCGCUUGCGGUCAUCAACUUGACGUUAAUAGUAGCCGCGAUUGCCAUAGCCGCGAAGGCAGCCAUCACGGCGGCUUUUGUACCCCCGAAGGAAGCCAUCACGGUGCUGAUAGUCUCCAUCGCGGCGGUAAAUCUGCUGGCCGUCUUCGCCGUCUUUGCGUUUUCCUCGUUGCUCGGCGUGACAGACGAUGAGCGCGAUUGCCUGUUGAAGGACGAGAAGGCGGCCGUCAAGGUGAUGAUCGAAGGCAGCAACCUUGCACGGCUGCUGCGGCCCCUGGAGCAGAUAAGAACGCAUCUUUUGAACCUCAACAUAGAGCGCUCUGCAUUGCGCACCGCCUUGGCAAAUGAGCAUCAGGUUGAUCAGGGCGGCGGCGUCGGCCAGACGGCAGCGGUCGUUCAUCUCCUACGGGAGGAGGAGAAGAAGUGGAGGAAGAAGGAGGAGAUCCAGAAGUGCAUGAAGCGCAUCCGCAAGACGGUGAACCGCCUUCAAUGCGAGGUGGAAAAGGAGGCUGCCGACUUCGCGAACAUUAUUUCCAAGUGACAGCUCUUACAGCUAGCUAGCUUGCUAUUGUUACUUUUGCAUUUGCAUUCAUUAUUCUUUAAGCUGCGUUUGGUUCGGGUAUAAGUAAGAACUGCUAGUUCUAGGGAUAGAUACAAGUUCAGGUAUAAGCAGGAACUAGACUAAUUUUGCGUUUGGAUGAAAAUUGGAUUAUUCCUAGGAAUAAGGUAAAUAGUGUUUGGAUGAUUAGAUUGGAACAAAAGGAAUAAGCGUUAUAAUUUGAAAUUAAAAUUAUAUUAUGUAAUUAAUUAACAUAAAAAUAUUACUUAAAAAUAAAUAAAAAUUAAUUAUUAAUAAUUAAUUAUAAAUAAUAAUUAAUAAUAAUAAUUAAUUAUAAAUAAUAAAUUAUUAAUAACGAUUAUCUAAUUAAUAAUAAUAAUUAUUAUUAUUAAUUAUUAAUAAAUAAUAAUAAUUAUUAAUUAUUCUUAUUAAUUAAUUAUAAAUAAUAAAUUAUUAAUAAUAUUGAUUAUCUAAUUAUUAAUAAUAAUUAAUAUUAAUAUUUAUUAAUAAAUAAUAAUAAUAAUUAUUAAUAAUUAAUUAUAAAUAAUAAAUUAAUAAUAACAUCGAUUAUCUAAUUAUUAAGAAUAAUAAUUAUUAAUUAAUUAUUAAUAAAUAAUAAUAUUAAUUAUUAAUUAUUAAUUAUAAAUAAUAUAUUAAUAAUAAUAUCGAUUAUCAUUAAGAAUAAUAUUUAUUAAUAAUUAUUAAUAAUUAUUAAUAAAAAAUUAAUAAAUAUUAUUAAUUAUUAAUAAUUAAUUAUAAAUAAUAAAUUAUUUAAUUAUUUAAUUAUUAAAAUAAUAAAUAAUAAUUUAAAUAUAUUAAUUAGAUUAAUUAAUAAUUUACUGCGAUUAAAAUUAAAUUUAGAUUUUAAUUAAUCUUGUUCUCAUCAAGGAACAAGCUUGUUCCAGGAAACGGGUGGAACAGCAGUUCCAGCCUUAUACCAGUUAGUUCUAGAUUCCCGGAAACUACUAUUUCCGGGAGCCAAACAUAACGUUUGGAAACAAAGGGAGAAACAAGGGCUUAUUCCCCCCUUGUUCCCCAACCAAACGCUACCUUAGGGUUUGCUUGCUGUAAGGUAAUUUGACUUUUGAGUGCCAUGUUAGAUUUUUUUUUUUUUCAUAUUUUUUGUUCCAUGAUUUUCAGUGUCUAGCUAGUUCUUUUCCACCACCGUGUCCUAAAAAUAGAACUUCCAUUAGGGUUUGCUGUAGGGUAAUUUGACUUUUGAGUGCCAUGUUAGAUUUUUUUUUUUUUUCAUAUUUUUUGUUCUAUGGUUUUCGGUGUCUACCACCACCGUGUCCUAAAAAUAGAACUUGUGAAUACAUAUAUAUAUACUAGUGAAGCAGGCCGCGCUUUGCGGAUAGAUACCACAAAAUAAUAAAAUUUUAUAUUUCAAUAUAAAAUUGUAAUAUUUAUUAUAAUAUAAAUUUAAUUUUUUCAGACAAAUAAUAAAUAAAAAUAAAAUUAAAUAUGUGAAAACAUAUAAUCAUAUUUGGUUGGACGUAAAACCAAACAAAAUAAUUAUUUUUAGAAAAAAUAUUUAAAUUGAAAUUAAAAUUUUGAAGUGCUACAUAAUUGUCAAAUAAAAAAAAUAAUCGAACCAAAAAAAAUAGUUCCCAAAUAAAAAAAUUCUCUAAUCAUAAAAUUUUUAGAGUAAAAAUUUUAUUUUGUUUAGGAUGAAAUAGCUCUCAAAUACUUUAUUGAAAAAAUUAAAAAAAAAGUUAAAAUUAUUAUUAUUAUUAUUAUUUCACAUUAAAAUAUAAUGCAUUUCUAACUUCAGAAACUAUAAGUCAACUUCAAAGUGGAUCUGUUGUGCGAAGAGUGCGUUAUGAACCGUGGCCGCCUGCCUGCUUUGGUUGGUGGGGGCGGCACCUCCGUUGUGGGUAAACGGGAAACCCGACUCUACGAACCCGAGGAAAAGCUGCACAGCUUCCGUAGGAGAGUUAAGACCGGAGCUAAGCUGAUAACAUAUUUUACACUUAAUAUAUUAUUAUGACUAAAAUUAAAAUUAGAAAUAUUUAUUUACUCUACUCUUCUCUUUCUUCGAAGAAAGAGAAGGAUAAUUAAUAAGAAGAGAUUAAGCCUAAUUAAUCUAGAACUCAAACGCCGCGCAUGUUCGCCGCUGACGCCACCCCCAAAGUAAAGAUCCUUUUUUAACAUUGGAAUCACAAUUGGGAAAAAAAGAAAAAAAAAAAGAAAACAAAAAAUCAACCAAACAACACACUUUAGCAGAGUUAUUCAAUAAAAAUAUUUAAUCUCAUAAAACAUAAAAUAACAAAUAUUUAAAGAAGGGAAAAAAAGAAAAAGAAAAAGAAAACAAAAAAUCAACCAAACAACACACUUUAGAAGAGUUAUUCAAUAAAAAUAUUUAAUCUCAUAAAACAUAAUAUAACAAAUACUACUUCAUCAUCAGUGCCAAAAAUUAAAUGCAAGUCCAAAGGAUUAGCAAGUAUUAUUUCUUACAAACCUCAUCAACACAAUAGUUUAGAUAUUUUUACAGAGCUUCAGAACAAAAGUAACCUAAAUCUAACAAAUAUUUUACCUUUUGUUCCCCUAAAUGGAGCUCAUAGAAGCUAAUACAACUAAAGAUUCCUUUUUUACAUUGAAAUCACAAUUGGGGAAAAAAGAAAGAAAAGAAAAAUCAACCGAACAAUACACUUUAGCAGAGUUAUUCAACAAAAAUAUUUAAAGGGCACUUCACAAAUCGUCAAAAAAUUUAAAAAAAAAUUCAAAACCCAUGAAAGAGGAGAUAAAACACAACAGAUCUACAGCAUAAAGUUGAGAUCUUUAGCUAGCAACAUCAAAAAGAUCAGAACUUCCACACAUAUCAAGAGAUUUGUAAUGGCAAAACCCUAAAAUUUGCCUUAAAAUUGCAUGAUUCGAAAUUGGUAACCUGGAAAAGGGGAAAAAUACUCUUAAAAAAGGAGCUUUCUUUUUGCAGAAACAAAAUUUAAUCUGUAGAUAAGGAGCAAUUAAAGGGUGAGAGAGAGAGAGAAGGAGAGGGGAAAAAUAUAUACCUAAAAUGAAAAUUUUAUCUAAGAAGCUCAAAAUACCUACCCUAAAAUGGAGAGAGAGAGAUAUAUAAAAGAGGGUCGAAAUUAACCGCCGACGCCGCCCAAGCCGCUGCCACCGCCGGCACCGCCCAAGCCACUAUCACCAUUGUACGCAAGAAGUUAGAAAAAAAAAGGGCAAAAGUGAGAAGAAGAAGAAGAAGAAGAAGAAGAAGAGGAAGUUACAGAGAAUAAGAAAAAGAGAAGGAGAAGACUAAAAAAAGAAGAAGAAAAAGAAGAAAUUCACCUACUCUUCACUGUCCUCCCUCUCUCUCUCUAUCUCUCUCAAAGGAACUGUUUCUGGAUGUGAUUCUCCACCAUCUCUCCACCAUAACCCUGAAAUAAUCUAAUCAGAAAGAGGAAGAACCUAUUAAACGAUAGAGAAUUAUUUUUUUAAAAAAAAAUGGUUCAUCAUUGCUGACUACUGUAAUUAAUCCUAAUUAUUUAAUCAAUAGCCAGCUAACACCACAUAUAUUAAUAAUAAUAAUAAUAAUAAUAGUAGUAGUUAAUUAUUUAAUUAAAAAAAAAGAACGGGGUUAAAAGAAAUUAGUGGGGGCUGGGUGAACGUACCAGGAAGGAGAGGAAGGAGGAGUAGAGGACGAUGCGGUAUCGGCCAAGCCAGAAGUCGGCGACGACUACGCCAACGGGCGCGAGCGUGGACGCGGCGCCCGACCACGCGUUCUCGUUGGCCGCGCCCGCCGCCGUCGACUCCCGCAGCGGGCGCCCGACCGCGCGUUCUCGCUGGCCGCGCCCGCCGCCGUCGACUCCCGCAGCGGACGCCCGACCACGCGUUCUCGUUGGCCCCGCCCACCGCCGUCGACUCUCGCAGCGGGCCCGUCAGGUAGCUUAUCAGGGAGAGAUGGGGGGCUAAGACAGAGAGGAGAGGAGAGAGAGAGAGGAGAGGAGAGAGAGAGAGAGUGAGAGGAGGAGAGAGAGAAAGAUGGUAGGGAAAGGAGGAGAGAGAGAAAGAGGGGGCCAGCUAUAUGAGAGAAAAGAGAGAGGGGCCCACCUUAAGAGAGGAAGAGAGAGAUAGGAGGGGAGAGAGAGAGAGAGGAAGAGAUAGAAAUAGAUUAGGAGGGAAGAGAGAGAAUGCCAGCUGGAGGUGAGGUGAGGAGAGAGAGGCUCGGGUAUGAGGCUGGAGGAAGAGAGAGAAGGGGGUAGGAGAAUAGGGAAGAGAAAGGGCCAGCCGUAGAGGUGGGGCGAGAGGACUCGUCGCCACGUGGAAUAGAGAAUAGAGAGGCAUGCCACAUGGGAUUUAUAGAAAGUGUCAAAUAGUAUAGUUAUAGUUAAUAUAUAUAUAUAUAUAGAGAGAGAGAGAGAGAGAGAGAGAGUUAGGUUUCUAUAUUUUUAAAAAUACGGAGGCCUCCGUGCUUGUAAGUUGUGUUUAAUGAUGGGACGUCCGAUUCGGCGAUCGGUUCCGUUGAACAUGAUUUACGCUAUUGAAACUAUCUAGAAACCAAAUUUCAUAAUUUUUUGACUUCAUUUGCCUAGUGAACGAGUAGCCUCAAAAUGAACGGCUGAAGAUAAAAAUCUCAUAAAAAGUAGUGAUAAAUGACUCAAAUUUCAAAUCGGAAGUAUUGUUCUUACUGUUGAUGUUAAGUAGAAUUUUUUUUUAAAGUUUCAUGUAAUUUGAAUAUUUCUACACCGUUGAACUUAAAACCGUGCCACAUCGGCCGUUAAAAUAGUCAUUUUUGAGACCCUAUGAUCGCUUGGUAAAUGAUGUCAAAAAAUUAUAAAAUUUAGUUUCUAAAUAGUUCCAAUAGCAUAGAUUAUGCCUAACGGAGCCGAUCGUCGAAUCGGGUGUCCUAUCAUCGAAAACAACUUACAAGUNUGAUCACCUCGCAGAUAACACUGAAAGCUUAUGGAGAAUCUGACGUAUCUUGGGAUUAGUAAGUUGUGAAUAAAAUAAAAAAAAAAUUCUGCGAACCGAGCUACGUGAAUUAAUUCAAGUUGAAAUUAAGGAAUAUAAAAGGGUUUGCUAUCCUUUUGUUAAUAUUUAUUGCUACGGCGUUGAUUGUAGUACCAUUAAGAAAAUGGCAAAAAAGUCCACGCAUACAUACACACUUUCCACUUUUUUUCUCUCUAUUUCUUUUUUUAUUUUUUUUAUUUUUGUUUCUUUUUGGGUGACAUGCUCACUGUUGAAAAAAAAAAAAGAAAAAGAAAAGAAAGGAGAAUUAGUCGAAUAAAAACUACCCAAUAUAAUUCUAAACUUGGACUUACACAUUAUGCUAAGGGGGUGUUUGGUUUUCUAUAAAACCAGCUGAAAAAAAUUUUGGCUGAAAAUUUUUUUCCAGACGUUUGGUUUGGUGUAAAAGGAAAAAUUAUUUUACGAAUGUGAAGAAAAUCUCGGCUUUUCGUUUUCCGCCUCAUUUCUGCGGAAAACGAAAACUUGGAAAAGAAAUGGCGGCUCAUGCACAGUAAAAGCAUCGCGGUCCACGAGCUUAGGGUGAAAGCUCGUGGACCGCGUGAGUGGUCCAUGCUGGACCACACACCCAACUCUCUCUCUCUCUCUCUCUCUCUCUCUCGUUUGUGUGUUUAAAAGAGAGAGAGGGGAUAAAGAAUUAUUUUAUAUAUUGAGUCUGGCUGGGGUGCUUCAAUAGCACCAAGCAUUUGGCGCUACCAAACUUUCUACCGUUAGAUUUGCUCUUUCAUCAUUUCCAUUCGUUAGAUUAUACUAUUCAACUAACCACUCACUCAACCCUAGGAGGCCCACAUCAUCCUAACCACCCAUUAUAUAUAUAUAAAACUCUUUGAUUAUUUUUAUCCGUUAGAUUUAACACUUUGAUUAUUUUUAUCUGUUAGAUUAUACUAUUCAACCAACCACUCACUCAACCCUAGGAGGCCCACAUCAUCCUAACCACCCAUUUCUCAAUCCAAGGGCUAAAAAAUCAAUAGCACUAAUAGCUUGGUGCUGUUGAUAGUAUUCCAGUCUAAUUCUAUAUAUAUAUAUAUAUAUAAAGAGAGAGAGAGAGAGAGAGAGAGAGAGAGAGAGAGAGAGAGAGAAGGACGGCUGUGCUUUUAGAAGCAUGAAGGCUGAGCCGUUUUCGAUGAUGAAAUUUUUGAAUCGACGAUCGGCUCGGUUAGACUUGAACUAGCGAAUUUGAAGUUUCGAAAAAAUAAUUUUCGCAAUUUUUCGAUCUCAUUACCUAGCACUAAAAUUUUUGAUGAAAGAUAUUAAUCA